CUCGAUCAGCAGUCGGAAACUUCCCCGGUGCGGCGGCGGGUGGCGGCGGCCGGCUCCUCCGGCGUCUGGUUCUUCUUCUCCGGCGAGCACUAGCGGCUAGGGUUUCUUUGGUCAGGUGUGGGUGGGGUUAUUUAUACCCUUUGCCUUUUAAUCUUGACCGUCCAUCAAGAUUGAAUCUGGGCCGUCCGAUCGCGAUUUAAUUGGAAUUAAAUCUGGGCUAUUCAUCGCGAUGCAAUCUGGGCCAUCCGUGCCUGAUUGAAUCUGGGCCGUCCGUGCGCGUGGAUCUGGGCUGUCCGUGCGCACGUUUGAUCUGGGCUGUUCGUGUUCGCGGGAACGGAUCUGGGCCGUCCGAUCGUGCGCACGUAGAUCGCCCACGUGGCCCGUUCCCUGGUCAGCGUUGCCUUGCCACGCGGUACGUUCUGGUUGGCCGGGACUGCUGACCGGGCCGCUGACGUGGCUGCUGACGUGUUGCAACUUUUUUAAAUUGUAUUUUGACCCC
RNAcentral lists this long non-coding RNA (499 nucleotides) under Carica papaya (papaya). RNAcentral describes it as "long non-coding RNA (CPAP_LNC005749)". Lineage: Eukaryota; Viridiplantae; Streptophyta; Magnoliopsida; Brassicales; Caricaceae. The record is from RNAcentral.